RNAcentral lists this ribosomal RNA (253 nucleotides) under uncultured bacterium. RNAcentral describes it as "partial 16S ribosomal RNA". It matches the Rfam family "Bacterial small subunit ribosomal RNA", at positions 524 to 776 of the family's 1533-position model. The record is from RNAcentral.
UACAGAGACUGCAAGCGUUAUUCGGAUUCACUGGGCGUAAAGCGUGCGCAGGCGGUUUUGUAAGCCAGAUGUGAAAUCCCCGGGCUUAACCUGGGAAUGGCAUUUGGGACUGCAAGGCUCGAGUGCGGCAGAGGAGACUGGAAUUCCUGGUGUAGCAGUGAAAUGCGUAGAUAUCAGGAGGAACACCGAUGGCGAAGGCAGGUCUCUGGGCUGACACUGACGCUCAUGCACGAAAGCGUGGGGAGCAAACAGG